GUGGUAUACAAGUUCAAUCCAGAGCAAAUAGAUAAAAAAAUCUUCUUAAUUAUUACCCUUAGAUUUGAAUUCAAAAAACGCCUCGUAUUUUCCUAUUCGAUUACAAUUCUCUAUAUGAAAAGACAUUCUUUACAAGUUCAGGUAGCUUAAUCAGCAAUAUAGAUACAUCAUCAACACUGCCUCAAGCGGUUCACUAAGCUGCCUGCCUGCCCCAAACCCAUAAAGCAAGAAAUCUCAUGGCCACAAAAGCUGCAUCUAAUCUACAAAUAUGGAAGGACAAAGAGAACCAAAUAAGCUCUAAGUUUGGCAUUUCUUUUUGUCUGCAUCUCCAGACAAACCCAGAUACCUGGUUUUUCCUCAAAAAACUUCAAAUGCUGGACUCAAGACACAAAAUAAUUCCUCCAGUUUGAGAUAUUUGAGCUGCAAAACCAAAGCUAUGAUUUCUUUGCAAGCAAUGUUGAUUUAUUCCUCAUGUAUUGUGCUCCAUAUCCAGCUGUAGAUGCCACUGUUGUGGCAGCCACCAACCAGCUCAGGUAUGUUAUACAUGAUUGAGUUUCAUCAGUUCCAAACUCUGGUUGAAGGAGGGCUGCUGCUACUAAAAUCAAUUGGAAAACCGUAUUGACCUUGCUUAUGAAGAGAGGUUCAACCUUCUCUCGGUGGGUUCCAUCAAGAUUAAAGAAAUCAUGCCAACUACUCAACUUCCAAUCCAAACUAGUAGCUCUAUGAUAUAGCGCACCACCAACAAGUGCAACAUCUCGCAACACAACCAGUCCAACAAGUCCAGGGUGCAAAAGAUCCAUGUGCACCAUUGCCAAUGCAACAGAUCCAAUAAGGACCUUGUCAGCAAGAGGAUCAAGGUAGGAACCCACUACAGAGUUGAUUCUCAUUUUCCUGGCA
This 897-nucleotide unclassified non-coding RNA is filed under the name Hevea brasiliensis (rubber tree). The record is from RNAcentral. Lineage: Eukaryota; Viridiplantae; Streptophyta; Magnoliopsida; Malpighiales; Euphorbiaceae.